GACGAACGCUGGCGGCGUGCCUAAUACAUGCAAGUAGAACGCUGAAGGAGGAGCUUGCUUCUCCGGAUGAGUUGCGAACGGGUGAGUAACGCGUAGGUAACCUGCCUGGUAGCGGGGGAUAACUAUUGGAAACGAUAGCUAAUACCGCAUAAGAGUAGAUGUCGCAUGACAUUUGCUUAAAAGGUGCAACUGCACCACUACCAGAUGGACCUGCGUUGUAUUAGCUAGUUGGUGAGGUAACGGCUCACCAAGGCAACGAUACAUAGCCGACCUGAGAGGGUGAUCGGCCACACUGGGACUGAGACACGGCCCAGACUCCUACGGGAGGCAGCAGUAGGGAAUCUUCGGCAAUGGACGGAAGUCUGACCGAGCAACGCCGCGUGAGUGAAGAAGGUCUUCGGAUCGUAAAGCUCUGUUGUAGGAGAAGAACGAGUGUGAGAGUGGAAAGUUCACACUGUGACGGUAGCUUACCAGAAAGGGACGGCUAACUACGUG
This 495-nucleotide ribosomal RNA is filed under the name uncultured bacterium. RNAcentral describes it as "partial 16S ribosomal RNA". It matches the Rfam family "Bacterial small subunit ribosomal RNA", at positions 28 to 507 of the family's 1533-position model. The record is from RNAcentral.